CUCGACUCACUCCAACCCCUGUGACAUACCACUUGUUGCCUCGGCGGAUCAGCCCGCUCCCGGUAAAACGGGACGGCCCGCCAGAGGACCCCUAAACUCUGUUUCUAUAUGUAACUUCUGAGUAAAACCAUAAAUAAAUCAAAACUUUCAACAACGGAUCUCUUGGUUCUGGCAUCGAUGAAGAACGCAGCAAAAAUGCGAUAAGUAAUGUGAAUUGCAGAAUUCAGUGAAUCAUCGAAUCUUUGAACGCACAUUGCGCCCGCCAGUAUUCUGGCGGGCAUGCCUGUUCGAGCGUCAUUUCAACCCUCAAGCACAGCUUGGUGUUGGGACUCGCGUUAAUUCGCGUUCCUCAAAUUGAUUGGCGGUCACGUCGAGCUUCCAUAGCGUAGUAGUAAAACCCUCGUUACUGGUAAUCGUCGCGGCCACGCCGUUAAACCCCAACUUCUGAAUGUUGACCUCGGAUCAGGUAGGAAUACCCGCUGAACUUAAGCAUAUCAAAAUCCGGGAGGAAA
This 512-nucleotide ribosomal RNA is filed under the name Fusarium oxysporum. RNAcentral describes it as "eukaryotic LSU rRNA". The stretch from base 143 to 297 matches the Rfam family "5.8S ribosomal RNA". Lineage: Eukaryota; Fungi; Ascomycota; Sordariomycetes; Hypocreales; Nectriaceae. The record is from RNAcentral.